RNAcentral lists this ribosomal RNA (477 nucleotides) under uncultured organism. RNAcentral's name for it is "partial 16S ribosomal RNA". It matches the Rfam family "Bacterial small subunit ribosomal RNA", at positions 332 to 800 of the family's 1533-position model. The record is from RNAcentral.
UACACUCCUGCGGGAGGCAGCAGUGGGGAAUUUUGGACAAUGGGCGAAAGCCUGAUCCAGCCAUGCCGCGUGCAGGAUGAAGGCCUUCGGGUUGUAAACUGCUUUUGUACGGAACGAAACGGCCUUUUCUAAUAAAGAGGGCUAAUGACGGUACCGUAAGAAUAAGCACCGGCUAACUACGUGCCAGCAGCCUCGGUAAUACGUAGGGUGCAAGCGUUAAUCGGAAUUACUGGGCGUAAAGCGUGCGCAGGCGGUUAUGUAAGACAGUUGUGAAAUCCCCGGGCUCAACCUGGGAACUGCAUCUGUGACUGCAUAGCUAGAGUACGGUAGAGGGGGAUGGAAUUCCGCGUGUAGCAGUGAAAUGCGUAGAUAUGCGGAGGAACACCGAUGGCGAAGGCAAUCCCCUGGACCUGUACUGACGCUCAUGCACGAAAGCGUGGGGAGCAAACAGGAUUAGAAACCCGGGUAGUCCCACGA